CUGACAUUUCAGAGCCAGCCAAGGCUUAAGACAUCAGGGUGGUCACAUGGAGAAUGUGCCCAGGAAAAGGAACCC
Arvicanthis niloticus (Nile rat) is the source of this 75-nucleotide non-coding RNA. NCBI's taxonomy places the organism in Eukaryota, Metazoa, Chordata, Mammalia, Rodentia, Muridae. The record is from RefSeq and is a predicted model, not a curated record.